CCUACGGGUGGCAGCAGUGGGGAAUAUUGCACAAUGGGGGAAACCCUGAUGCAGCGACGCCGCGUGAGUGAAGAAGUCUUUCGGUAUGUAAAGCUCUAUCAGCAGGGAAGAAAAUGACGGUACCUGCUUAAGACGCCCCGGCUAACUCCGUGCCAGCAGCCGCGGUAAUACGUAGGGGGCAAGCGUUAUCCGGAUUUACUGGGUGUAAAGGGAGCGUAGACGGUGAUGCAAGUCAGAAGUGAAAGCCCGAGGCUCAACUCCGGGACUGCAUUUGAAACUGUGUGACUGGAGUGCAGGAGAGGGAGGCGGAAUUCCUGGUGUAGCGGUGAAAUGCGUAGAUAUAAGGAGGAACACCAGUGGCGAAGGCGGCUUGCUGGACUGUAACUGACGUUGAGGCGCGAAAGCGUGGGGAGCAAACAGGAUUAGAUACCCGGGUAGUC
RNAcentral lists this ribosomal RNA (440 nucleotides) under uncultured bacterium. RNAcentral's name for it is "partial 16S ribosomal RNA". It matches the Rfam family "Bacterial small subunit ribosomal RNA", at positions 338 to 795 of the family's 1533-position model. The record is from RNAcentral.